UAAACGGCGAAACUGCGAAUGGCUCAUUAAAUCAGUUAUCGUAUAUUUGAUAGUACCUACUACAUGGAUAACCGUGGUAAUUCUAGAGCUAAUACAUGCUUAAAAUCCCGACUUCGGAAGGGAUGUAUUUAUUAGAUUAAAAACCAAUGCCCUUCGGGGCUCACUGGUGAUUCAUAAUAACUUCUCGAAUCGCAUGGCCUUGUGCCGGCGAUGGUUCAUUCAAAUUUCUGCCCUAUCAACUUUCGACGGCUGGGUAUUGGCCAGCCGUGGUUACAACGGGUAACGGAGGGUUAGGGCUUGACCCCGGAGAAGGAGCCUGAGAAACGGCUACUACAUCCAAGGAAGGCAGCAGGCGCGCAAAUUACCCAAUCCCGAUACGGGGAGGUAGUGACAAUAAAUACUGAUACAGGGCUCUUUUGGGUCUUGUAAUUGGAAUGAGUACAAUUUAAAUCCCUUAACGAGGAACAAUUGGAGGGCAAGUCUGGUGCCAGCAGCCGCGGUAAUUCCAGCUCCAAUAGCGUAUAUUAAAGUUGUUGCAGUUAAAAAGCUCGUAGUUGAACCUUGGGCCUGGCUGGCCGGUCUGCCUCACCGCAUGCACUGGUCCGGCCGGGUCUUUCCCUCUGGGGAUCCGCAUGCCCUUCAUUGGGUGUGUCGGGGAACCAGGACUUUUACUGUGAAAAAAUUAGAGUGUUCAAAGCAGGCCUAUGCUCGAAUACAUUAGCAUGGAAUAAUAGAAUAGGACGUGUGGUUCUAUUUUGUUGGUUUCUAGGACCGCCGUAAUGAUUAAUAGGGACAGUCGGGGGCAUCAGUAUUCAAUCGUCAGAGGUGAAAUUCUUGGAUCGAUUGAAGACUAACUACUGCGAAAGCAUUUGCCAAGGAUGUUUUCAUUAAUCAGGAACGAAAGUUAGGGGAUCGAAAACGAUCAGAUACCGUUGUAGUCUUAACCAUAAACUAUGCCGACUAGGGAUCGGACGAUUUAUUUCUUGACUCGUUCGGCACCUUACACGAAAGUAAAGUU
Molecule: ribosomal RNA, 1018 nt
Filed under: Allantophoma endogenospora
Lineage: Eukaryota; Fungi; Ascomycota
Description: SSU rRNA
Rfam family: Eukaryotic small subunit ribosomal RNA
Source: RNAcentral